UGACGUUGGGAAAGCGAGCGGCGGAUGGGUGAGUAACACGUGGGGAACCUGCCCCUAAGUCUGGGAUACCAUUUGGAAACAGGUGCUAAUACCGGAUAAUAAAGCAGAUCGCAUGAUCAGCUUUUGAAAGGCGGCGUAAGCUGUCGCUAAGGGAUGGCCCCGCGGUGCAUUAGCUAGUUGGUAAGGUAACGGCUUACCAAGGCGACGAUGCAUAGCCGAGUUGAGAGACUGAUCGGCCACAUUGGGACUGAGACACGGCCCAAACUCCUACGGGAGGCAGCAGUAGGGAAUCUUCCACAAUGGACGCAAGUCUGAUGGAGCAACGCCGCGUGAGUGAAGAAGGUUUUCGGAUCGUAAAGCUCUGUUGUUGGUGAAGAAGGAUAGAGGUAGUAACUGGCCUUUAUUUGACGGUAAUCAACCAGAAAGUCACGGCUAACUACGUGCCAGCAGCCGCGGUAAUACGUAGGUGGCAAGCGUUGUCCGGAUUUAUUGGGCGUAAAGCGAGCGCAGGCGGAAAAAUAAGUCUAAUGUGAAAGCCCUCGGCUUAACCGAGGAAUUGCAUCGGAAACUGUUUUUCUUGAGUGCAGAAGAGGAGAGUGGAACUCCAUGUGUAGCGGUGGAAUGCGUAGAUAUAUGGAAGAACACCAGUGGCGAAGGCGGCUCUCUGGUCUGCAACUGACGCUGAGGCUCGAAAGCAUGGGUAGCGAACAGGAUUAGAUACCCUGGUAGUCCAUGCCGUAAACGAUGAGUGCUAAGUGUUGGGAGGUUUCCGCCUCUCAGUGCUGCAGCUAACGCAUUAAGCACUCCGCCUGGGGAAGUACGACCGCAAGGUUGAAACUCAAAGGAAUUGACGGGGG
RNAcentral lists this ribosomal RNA (857 nucleotides) under uncultured bacterium. Its description in RNAcentral is "bacterial SSU rRNA". It matches the Rfam family "Bacterial small subunit ribosomal RNA", at positions 78 to 919 of the family's 1533-position model. The record is from RNAcentral.